AUCGAGAGAGAGAAGAGAGCAUAUGAACUGGGUAUGGCCUGUGUAGGUACAUAAGGAUUCAAGUUUGAAGAAAAUGUGGCGUUACCUAGCCUUGGCGGCAUCUGUUGUUGUGAUGUUUCUCUUGACUGAUGAUGGAGCUGAGCAGCCCAAGGAAAAGGAACUGAACGAGAGAACUGCGGCCUUGCGAGACACCAUCCAGUGCCAGAGAGAGCAGCGCAUGAACUUGGACAGGACAAUUCUUCAGCUGCAUGAAGAGAUACAAAAGGCGGGCGGAAGGGAAGAAGCCACUCGUGUAAUAAAGAUCACUCAAGAGGUGUUCUGGCAAGACAGGGCCUACUUGCUCGAAGCUAAAGCGUUGUCUCUGAAAAGGGAGAACGAUCAAGAGACGAGGGAGAAACGGCAGCUGGAAGACAAGAUCCUCAAGAUGCCAGACGAAAAUCAGCAGCUGAAGAAGAACACGAAGGAAAUCGGGCCGAGAAACGAUGCCCUAUGUGAUAUGAUAAGGAAAGUGGGAGUACAGUUGAAAGAGGCAGACUACCUGCUUGAGAUCCUGGAGAAACUCCAACAACAGAAGGAGAAAGACUGAAGAAGCAGCGCGGAUGACGAGGCUCAUCCAGGAACAAAACGGCGCAACUGAAAAGCGGGAAUCCGACAGGAAAGACCUCGAGCUGAGGUUCCAACGCCUGCAUAAGGAUUUGGAAGAUCUCUGCAAGAAAAAGUGUGUACUCCAGUCUCCAGUGUGAAGUUGAGGAGCGAAACUCGAGAGGAACGAGCUGGCAUGCCUUCUAGAGGAACGAAAUCGUCGCCUGGAGUCGCUGGAGAGAAAGGCCGGAGUCCAGGGCGAAGGGAACGACCAGCUGGAAGAUGAGGUUCGACAUCUGCGAGGAACGAAGGAGAAAUUGGUGAGCGACCUGAAGAACCUCCAGGAGAACUACAGACGCCUGGAGAUUCGAGAACCACUGGAAAGUGCAGAAGCUGCUGUCGAUCUUCAAGGAAUGGCGCGAUCAAGUGUGGGCUGGCCUCGCUCAGACGGAUAAGAUGUGAAAAAUUUGAGGAGAAUGUUUGUUAUAUGGAAAGUUUGAUGUUUAUUUGUAAUAAUUUGCUUUGUUAAUCAUUGAAGGAAAGUGAACUUGAACGGAAAUAAAUAUGUUAAAACGUUU
Long non-coding RNA from Macrobrachium nipponense, 1160 nucleotides. RefSeq lists it as uncharacterized. The transcript has 2 exons. NCBI's taxonomy places the organism in Eukaryota, Metazoa, Arthropoda, Malacostraca, Decapoda, Palaemonidae. The record is from RefSeq and is a predicted model, not a curated record.